RNAcentral lists this ribosomal RNA (460 nucleotides) under uncultured bacterium. Its description in RNAcentral is "partial 16S ribosomal RNA". It matches the Rfam family "Bacterial small subunit ribosomal RNA", at positions 338 to 795 of the family's 1533-position model. The record is from RNAcentral.
CCUACGGGAGGCAGCAGUGAGGAAUAUUGGUCAAUGGACGAGAGUCUGAACCAGCCAAGUAGCGUGAAGGAUGACUGCCCUAUGGGUUGUAAACUUCUUUUAUAUGGGAAUAAAAUGUUCCACGUGUGGGACUUUGUAUGUACCAUAUGAAUAAGGAUCGGCUAACUCCGUGCCAGCAGCCGCGGUAAUACGGAGGAUCCGAGCGUUAUCCGGAUUUAUUGGGUUUAAAGGGAGCGUAGGUGGAUUGUUAAGUCAGUUGUGAAAGUUUGCGGCUCAACCGUAAAAUUGCAGUUGAAACUGGCAGUCUUGAGUACAGUAGAGGUGAGCGGAAUUCGUGGUGUAGCGGUGAAAUGCUUAGAUAUCACGAAGAACUCCAAUGGCGAAGGCAGCUCACUGGACUGCAACUGACACUGAGGCUCGAAAGUGUGGGUAUCAAACAGGAUUAGAUACCCGGGUAGUC